UACGAAGGGGGCUAGCGUUGUUCGGAAUCACUGGGCGUAAAGCGCGCGCAGGCGGAUCGAUAAGUCGGGGGUGAAAGCCCGGGGCUCAACCUCGGAAUUGCCUUCGAUACUGUCGGUCUCGAGUCCGGGAGAGGUGAGUGGAAUUCCUAGUGUAGAGGUGAAAUUCGUAGAUAUUAGGAAGAACACCAGUGGCGAAGGUGGCUCACUGGCCCGGUACUGACGAUCAGGUGCGAAAGCGUGGGGAGCAAACAGG
RNAcentral lists this ribosomal RNA (253 nucleotides) under uncultured bacterium. RNAcentral describes it as "partial 16S ribosomal RNA". It matches the Rfam family "Bacterial small subunit ribosomal RNA", at positions 524 to 776 of the family's 1533-position model. The record is from RNAcentral.